AGAGUUUUUUCCUGGCUCAGGAUGAACGCUAGCGGCAGGCCUAAUACAUGCAAGUCGAACGGUAAAUGCCCUUUCGGGGGUAUGAGAGUGGCGCACGGGUGCGUAACGCGUAUGCAACCCACCCGCUGCCGGGGGAUAGCCCGGAGAAAUUCAGAUUAAUACCCCAUGAUGAGUCUGAGCGGCAUCGCUUGACUUACAAAAAUUCAGCGGCGGCGGACGGGCAUGCGAGCCAUUAGAUAGUUGGCGGGGUAACGGCCCACCAAGGCGACGAUCGCUAGGGGAUCUGAGAGGACGGUCCCCCACACUGGUACUGAGACACGGACCAAACUCCUACGGGAGGCAGCAGUAAGGAAUAUUGGUCAAUGGAGGGAACCCUGAACCAGCCAUGCCGCGUGAGGGAAUAAGGCCCUACGGGUCGUAAACCUCUUUUGUCUGGGGAUAAGGACAUCCACGUGUGGGUGUUUGAAUGUACCUUGAGAAUAAGCAUCGGCUAACUCCGUGCCAGCAGCCGCGGUAAUACGGAAGAUGCGAGCGUUAUUCGGAAUUAUUGGGUUUAAAGGGUGAGCAGGCGGGCGCAUUAAGUCUGCGGUGAAAGGUUCGGGCUCACCACGAGCACUGCCGUUGAUACUGGUUGUUUUGAAUGCGGUCCAGGCCGGCGGAAUGUGGUGUGUAGCGGUGAAAUGCAUAGAUAUGCCACAGAACUCCGAUAGCGAAGGCAGCUGUCCGGGCUUGCAUUGACGCUCAGGCUCGAAAGCGUGGGUAUCGAACAGGAUUAGAUACCCUGGUAGUCCACGCUGUAAAC
This 802-nucleotide ribosomal RNA is filed under the name uncultured bacterium. RNAcentral describes it as "bacterial SSU rRNA". It matches the Rfam family "Bacterial small subunit ribosomal RNA", at positions 8 to 807 of the family's 1533-position model. The record is from RNAcentral.